Pelodiscus sinensis (Chinese soft-shelled turtle) is the source of this 428-nucleotide non-coding RNA. NCBI's taxonomy places the organism in Eukaryota, Metazoa, Chordata, Testudines, Trionychidae. The record is from RefSeq and is a predicted model, not a curated record.
GUGAGUCUCUGAUGUGGCAGCGGAUGUGGUUGGGCCUGUGAUAGUGUCACUUGUGUAGUUGCGUGGACAGAGUUGGCAGCGGAGUUGAUUGCAAGGAUGCAUUCCUGGCCUCUUUGCUGCAUUCCCAGGCCUGUCACCUGCUCAUCUGGCCUUCUCCCUUGUACGUCUUCCCUUCAGGCCGGACACCCCUGGGGAGUGCUGAACAAGGGGUACCCGCCCUGUGGGAAAGUCUAUUGAAGCAAUGAGAAGCCACCCGUCCUAUGUCUUCAGCUGGCCUUUAAAACUGCCUGGCCCACCCUAAGCCCAUUACACAGAACUCUGAAGAAGCUGUAGAUCCAGGGUCAGAGAAGAGAUCAACUUUGACUCCUAAGUUUUUGAGCUGAGAUAAGAACAUCUGUUUAGACCAGAAUUUGCAUGUAACAAGUUUC